GCCCUCCAGCUCCCUCUGCCAUCGGAUCUAAACGCUGGUCUUGCUGAUGGUGAAGGAGGAAACGUUCUUAAAUUAGAGCUAAUGAGGCAGAGAUCAGUAGUGGAACACUUGUGCGCAGGACCCUGGGUUCAAACAUCA
Small nucleolar RNA from Cavia aperea (Brazilian guinea pig), 138 nucleotides. The record is from Ensembl. NCBI's taxonomy places the organism in Eukaryota, Metazoa, Chordata, Mammalia, Rodentia, Caviidae.